Molecule: long non-coding RNA, 598 nt
Organism: Homarus americanus (American lobster)
Lineage: Eukaryota; Metazoa; Arthropoda; Malacostraca; Decapoda; Nephropidae
Exons: 3
Source: RefSeq, a predicted model, not a curated record
GCGGUAAUGUGUCCCUUGUUGGAUGAAUGCCAUAAAGUACAGACCAUCUCGUACCGCUAGUAAACUGAGACGCUUGGUAGAGAUGAUGAACUCAACACAUGAACUACAGGUCAAAUUGUUAGAUAUUGCUUUAUUUCUCUUGUCUAAAAUAAUAAUAUAAAAUAGGAAGCAAGCGUAAAUUUCAUUUCACAGUAAUAAAAAAACAAGUGUAACCCAAAAUAAUGGCAGCUAAAUUUAGAUUUAAAAUAAUUGUUGUAACUCGUUUUCGGUGUUCAGGAGGAUUGACCAGCUGCUGACGGUAAACAUCAACAGUUAUCACGUGUGUUGGGCCGAUAAAACUACCAGGGGAUUAAGGCAUUGAAUAGGAGAGGGGAAGAUAAAGGACCCAAACUUUGGAAAAUAAUGUGUUCCUGUACGUGGCAGCUCACUGAGACGCCAACAUUAUCUUGAAGCAUGAAGAGCCUGGCGUCAAGACACUGGUAUCUUGAUGUACAUAUGGCUGAAUGGAGCACAAAGGGAUUCACUGACCUGUUUGGGUGGAAGAGCGAGGCACGUCUAAGGACGAACGGCUCGCGUCUCGCACUGAAGUAGGCCUACA